GGGGGCUUGAAAUCUUUUGACAGCUUCCGAAAUGCUAAUUUUUGACCUUUUUCAACUGGACCAAAUCACUUCUUUACAUUAUAAUUCAUGAAUCAAAUUUUUUUACAGUGUAAUUUUAUCCCCCUUCUUGCUACUUGAGGCAUAAAAUAUAAAUAAAUAAAUUUGGAAGGGGUAUAAAAAAAAAUUGACAAGUAACACACUGUCCACAGUAGGGACUAUAUUCGUGGACAACGAAAAUCAAGGGACG
Molecule: long non-coding RNA, 247 nt
Filed under: Mytilus galloprovincialis (Mediterranean mussel)
Lineage: Eukaryota; Metazoa; Mollusca; Bivalvia; Mytilida; Mytilidae
Source: RNAcentral